CUCCCAGCAUACAAAAUCAUCCUUUCAGAAUAUGUAGUAGUUCUUUUGUGCUUUUUUGCAGCAUCUCUAUUCUACACAAAAUUAACAGUGCAUGAAAGUAAGAUAAUAAAUUUGUGAAGUGUGUAGUCCCUUUGGUCCCACAGUACAACCAAAGAAAACUUUGCUACUGCACUUAGAGGGAUGUUUCUAUCAUGUUCUAGGGAACCUUGAAGUUAAAAGGCACACUGUAGUGACAUCCUUCAUGAGCCUCCAUCAGAUGCUUUGGUUACUGGGAGUUCAAUAGUGCAGGAGGUUGUUAAAGAUGCCAAUCAGAGCUCUAGGUGUUCUGCGCCAGAGAGGAAUGAAUUUGGGCCCCUUGGCAUUUUGUCCUCAUUUGCUGCUCUGCCAGGCCUGGCACUCCUCUUUCAGCUUUCCCUCUCUUGGAGGGGACUCUUCCCUGGGUACUGCUGCCAGUACAUCCAGCUGGGAGACAGCAGCAGGAGCAGUACCAGAACAGCAAGGGGGAGAACCAGGCUGCCGCAGUGUCCCAGAGCCAAGUCAAACAACCUCACCUCCUCCUGCCAUUCUUGCUGCUGACAGAUCUUCCCAGUUCACUUUGUGGUGCAUUUCCAGGCAGUGCUCUGCUUCAGCUUUGUGGGACAGUCUCACUCCCAGUCCCUGUUACAGGAGUCAGCUCCUCUGCCCCAAGCCUGGCUUGUGUGGCCCUACUCUCCCCUUUCUCUUGGUGGCUGUGUCUGCCUGCAGUGAGACUUCACCCCUGCAGAGAAAGGAGCAGCCAGAGGAUGUUCGUGCCAUCACAGCCACAUGCCUCCCUUAUCACUCAGCUGAAGAGAAGAGGGUCCCUGGGUAGGAUAGAGCAGCAAAGCUGAUCUGAGAGACCCUUCAAUGACAUCUGCUUCUCUUUCCCUGCAACAUCUGAGUCGCCAAUCCUUUCUCCCAUCACAGUGACUGGAGCAAGCUUCACCAGCCACAGGUCAAAGUCUCUGCAGCAUAACCUGGGGAUUUGCACCCUGGCUUCCAGCGACCCAGCUGGGUAAAUCUGGAAUGUGCACUUCUAUUUGCAUCCUGUAAUGAAACGGUUUCACAACCUCACCAAAAUGUGUGUGCUUCAGAGGGAAAACUCCCCAACACCCCAAGUCUCCCGGCUUCCUUCACCACCAUCUGCUCUUUUUUAUUUUUCAAGAAAUGAGAAUUUUUGCAUAAAUGAGAAUGUAGCCUUUGAAGCUGAACGUAAAAGAGUAAUUUCCUAUAGGAUCCUGUAAGAACUUUGCAUAGGAGGAACAAAAAGGCUCUGCAUAAGAUGUGUAAAUAGUUAUAUCACUCUGAUUUAUGUUGAAAACAUGUUUUACUUACAGCUACAGAAGCUAUAAAAGACAGUCCGAAAUACUCUCCAGGCUUCCUAUCUUUCAUGAGAAAAAGUGUUUCACAACAAAAAUAGAAUAUAUAUACUUACUUGUAUUUAAUUGUGCAUUUUCUAGAGAAGGGAGGAAGGUGACAUAAGACAUUGUGCAAAAUAAUCAAAUUUAUGCAGAUCUGGUUGUUGCCCAGAAUUUUGUUCUGUGCCACAUGAGGGGUUAUUUUCUUCAAGGCAGUAUUUUUCUUUUUAAAUUUAAAAAUAUUGUACUGUAAGAAACAUCUAUAGAAAGGCAUAUCUGCAUAGGGCAUUUAACCUCCACUGAAGCUCAUAGAAAUGUCUGAGGACUGACAGUAGACUGUUGAUCAGGACCUGUUCUUCCUCCAGGUCUUUUUCUCCAGGCUUUUACCAAGUCCUCACUGUCAGGCCUAAAUUUGACUCAGCUGGACUAUCGACAAGUUUUCUACAAAAGGAAACUAACCCUUCAGUAAUGUUAUUAUACACCCAUCACAUGAUCAGGAUAGAUGGAGAGGGCUGAAGGAGCUGAGGUAACAAGGGAAAAGUGCAGAAAUGGAUGAUGGAUAAAGAGAACAUGUGGCAGGCAGCAAGGUAAAAUGCAAGAAGGAAACAAGUCCAGGAGAGCCGUGCUCCUUGGGCACCUAAGCGCAUGCUGGGAACGCUUUGUAGUGAUUUUCUUGCAGAGCAAGUGGCUCUGUCAUGUGAGGAAUGGUGCUGGGAAGAGUCAGAAGUGGUUGAAAGUCUCUGUGAGUACUGUGCCAGGUCCAGAGGUGGGUACAGCAGCCAGUGCAGUUAAGGGAAAGGCGGCUGUGCUGCUGUAUAGCUGCCCCAGCAACGCGAGAUCCAGAGCCUGCAUUCUACAGGGCGUGAUGAAUGUGGGGUGGGAAGGAAAAUAGUCCCUGCAAAACCACCCUGGGAUGUGCUGUAAAGAGAGGCUUUACAGAUGCUUGUAUGUGUGAAGAUACAGAUAGAUAAAGAUAAAGGAGUGGGGCAAUGCUGAGCUUUGCACUGAGGGCAGUGGAACACUGUUCACCUCGUGCCUUCCCAUACCCAGCCGGCAGCACCUCCAGUACAGGGAGUGCUGCAGAAGGGCAAGGCCACCUUGUUAUGGACACUCCUCUGUCUUAAUUUCUCCUCCUCUGAAAAAGAGACCAGAAAGGAAAUAAAAUGAUGAAUGGGAGGGAAGCUGCUUAGAAG
This 2569-nucleotide long non-coding RNA is filed under the name Cyanistes caeruleus (blue tit). RNAcentral describes it as "lncRNA (ENSCCEG00000020752.1)". Lineage: Eukaryota; Metazoa; Chordata; Aves; Passeriformes; Paridae. The record is from RNAcentral.